RNAcentral lists this ribosomal RNA (429 nucleotides) under bacterium. RNAcentral's name for it is "partial 16S ribosomal RNA". It matches the Rfam family "Bacterial small subunit ribosomal RNA", at positions 355 to 776 of the family's 1533-position model. The record is from RNAcentral.
UAGGGAAUCUUCCACAAUGGACGCAAGUCUGAUGGAGCAACGCCGCGUGAGUGAAGAAGGUUUUCGGAUCGUAAAGCUCUGUUGUUGGUGAAGAAGGAUAGAGGCAGUAACUGGUCUUUAUUUGACGGUAAUCAACCAGAAAGUCACGGCUAACUACGUGCCAGCAGCCGCGGUAAUACGUAGGUGGCAAGCGUUGUCCGGAUUUAUUGGGCGUAAAGCGAGCGCAGGCGGAAUGAUAAGUCUGAUGUGAAAGCCCACGGCUCAACCGUGGAACUGCAUCGGAAAAUGUCAUUCUUGAGUGCAGAAGAGGAGAGUGGAAUUCCAUGUGUAGCGGUGGAAUGCGUAGAUAUAUGGAAGAACACCAGUGGCGAAGGCGGCUCUCUGGUCUGCAACUGACGCUGAGGCUCGAAAGCAUGGGUAGCGAACAAG